RNAcentral lists this ribosomal RNA (450 nucleotides) under uncultured bacterium. RNAcentral describes it as "bacterial SSU rRNA". It matches the Rfam family "Bacterial small subunit ribosomal RNA", at positions 29 to 524 of the family's 1533-position model. The record is from RNAcentral.
AACGAACGCUGGCGGCAGGCCUAACACAUGCAAGUCGAACGCCCUAGCAAUAGGGAGUGGCAGACGGGUGAGUAACACGUGGGAACGUGCCUUUCGGUUCGGAAUAACCCAGGGAAACUUGGACUAAUACCGGAUACGUGCGAGAGCAGAAAGAUUUAUCGCCGAAAGAUCGGCCCGCGUCUGAUUAGUUAGUUGGUGAGGUAAUGGCUCACCAAGGCGACGAUCGGUAGCUGGUCUGAGAGGAUGAUCAGCCACACUGGGACUGAGACACGGCCCAGACUCCUACGGGAGGCAGCAGUGGGGAAUAUUGGACAAUGGGCGCAAGCCUGAUCCAGCCAUGCCGCGUGAGUGAUGAAGGCCCUAGGGUUGUAAAGCUCUUUCGCCAGGGACGAUAAUGACGGUACCUGGAUAAGAAGCCCCGGCUAACUUCGUGCCAGCCGCCGCCGUAAC